AAACUUUCAACAACGGAUCUCUUGGUUCUGGCAUCGAUGAAGAACGCAGCGAAAUGCGAUAAGUAAUGUGAAUUGCAGAAUUCAGUGAAUCAUCGAAUCUUUGAACGCACAUUGCGCCCCCUGGUAUUCCGGGGGGCAUGCCUGUUCGAGCGUCAUCA
This 158-nucleotide ribosomal RNA is filed under the name Teratosphaeria viscida. RNAcentral's name for it is "5.8S ribosomal RNA". It matches the Rfam family "5.8S ribosomal RNA". Rfam says of the family: 5.8S ribosomal RNA (5.8S rRNA) is a component of the large subunit of the eukaryotic ribosome. Lineage: Eukaryota; Fungi; Ascomycota; Dothideomycetes; Mycosphaerellales; Teratosphaeriaceae. The record is from RNAcentral.